GGGCAGCGACGGCAUCUCCGAUACGCCUCUUCAUUUGUGGGAACGAGCCUUUGCUCGUCCGCGGUCGGGUUUCCUGUGCUGCAUACCCCUUGCGAGGGCAUUCGGUUGGCUAAAAUGUCCCCAUCUCCGCCUUGUGCUGGCGCCCCGUGCGGGCGUUCGGUGCGGGGUUGGAUCUCAUAUCGUGCGUUGUGUUUCGCGCCGCAUUCACCCGACGUGGUGUUUGGGUAGGCGACCCACGACGUGAUGCGCGUUGUCUCGGGUACGGAACAUCGGGUGGGUUCGAGGCAUUGGCCUCCGAUCACCACAAAAAUGCGUUCCACGCAUUAUGCGAACGACGGCCGCACACGACCCUCGGCAGGGCACUAGCUGCUCGGCCGAAGCCGCGUCGGCGUCGGUGAGGGAUGCUACCUGGUUGAUCCUGCCAGUAGUCAUAUGCUUGUCUCAAAGAUUAAGCCA
Molecule: unclassified non-coding RNA, 456 nt
Filed under: Hyptis pulegioides
Lineage: Eukaryota; Viridiplantae; Streptophyta; Magnoliopsida; Lamiales; Lamiaceae
Description: partial contains external transcribed spacer and 18S ribosomal RNA
Rfam family: Eukaryotic small subunit ribosomal RNA (bases 406-456)
Source: RNAcentral